This 586-nucleotide long non-coding RNA is filed under the name Daphnia magna. RNAcentral describes it as "uncharacterized LOC123475217". Lineage: Eukaryota; Metazoa; Arthropoda; Branchiopoda; Diplostraca; Daphniidae. The record is from RNAcentral.
GUUGUCCGUUUAUUUAGCAAAUAAAUAAACAACUUGUACUGCCAUGUAGCGAUUUCGAUAGACGACGCCUUCAAGGGAGGAGGAGUCUACAACAUAUUGAAUUUAUCGAUCGAUUGUUAGGCCGAUUUCGAUCAGCAUUGUAUAGUUAAUGAAUGACAACUUGACGAGAUCUUGACACGCACGUUGGAAGUGUACGCGUGUUUGCACCUCGAUGAGCGUUGCACAAUAACAAAGCUCCGUUGGUGAGCGUAUUGAUUAAUAAAGCUAGGUGAAGUCCUUGAGUGCCUCAAGGACUUUGUUUUGUUUUAGCAGUAUUUUUUCCUUCAACAAUUAAUCUUGCAUCUCCAACCGUGGAAUGAGUUACAUGUGACUCGAGACAAAAAAACAGUGCAAUUGCAACAAUAUAAUUAGUCAGCGGUAUGGUCACUAUCAGCAGCUUUACACACAGUGUGCAUCGUGAAUACAUCAAUCCCAGAGAAAACAUUCCAAUGGAAAAUAUUGAGAAUUUCUGCCCUUCUAUCCUGAACUAAACAAUGCUGGGAGAUUGGUUAUCUCUUCACAGAGAUGAGUCACCCGCUCCUUGGAC